GGAUGUGAGGGCGAUCUGGCUGUGACAUCUGUCACCCCACUGAUCGCCACAGUUGAUUCAGCUAGUCUGGCUGGCUAGGCAGGUGUCCCUUUACUCCCUCACAGCUCCAUGUGCUUCCCUCCCAAAUCUGUGCGCUUGGUUGAGGAUGGCCUUCCCCGAAUAGAGACUGACUGGUCUUCAGUUGAGGGUAUACGAGUAGCUGCGCUCCCCUGCUAGAACCUGCAAACAAGCUCCCAAGAAUAAUAAACACACCUUCUCUGACCCAUCUUGGAUGGAGCUAGAAGGAAUUAUGUUAAGUAAGAUAAACCAAAAAUAUGAGUAUAGGAUGAUCCUACUC
Erinaceus europaeus (western European hedgehog) is the source of this 337-nucleotide unclassified non-coding RNA. Its record names the gene 7SK. It matches the Rfam family "7SK RNA". Rfam says of the family: 7SK was discovered as an abundant small nuclear RNA in the mid-70s but a possible function has only recently been suggested. Two independent studies have found that 7SK RNA binds the CDK9/cyclin T complex (known as elongation factor P-TEFb). P-TEFb activates transcription by phosphorylating the C-terminal domain of RNA polymerase II. NCBI's taxonomy places the organism in Eukaryota, Metazoa, Chordata, Mammalia, Eulipotyphla, Erinaceidae. The record is from Ensembl.